This 250-nucleotide ribosomal RNA is filed under the name uncultured prokaryote. RNAcentral describes it as "partial 16S rRNA". It matches the Rfam family "Bacterial small subunit ribosomal RNA", at positions 525 to 775 of the family's 1533-position model. The record is from RNAcentral.
ACGUAGGUCCCGAGCGUUGUCCGGACUUAUUGGGCGUAAAGCGAGCGCAGGAGGUUUAAUAAGUCUGAUGUAAAAGGCAGUGGCUCAACCAUUGUGUGCAUUGGAAACUGUUAGACUUGAGUGCAGUAGAGGAGAGUGGAAUUCCAGGUGUAGCGGUGAAAUGCGUAGAUAUAUGGAGGAACACCGACGGCGAAAGCAGCUUUCUGGACUGUAACUGACACUGAGGCUCGAAAGCGUGGGGAGCAAACAG